GAUGAACGCUGGCGGCGUGCUUAACACAUGCAAGUCGAACGGAAAGGCCACAGCUUGCUGUGGUACUCGAGUGGCGAACGGGUGAGUAACACGUGGGUGAUCUGCCCUGUACUUCGGGAUAAGCUUGGGAAACUGGGUCUAAUACCGGAUAGGAUUCACCUGUCGGUGUGUGGUUGGAAAGCUUUUGCGGUAUGGGAUGAGCUCGCGGCCUAUCAGCUUGUUGGUGGAGUAGUGGCCUACCGAGGCGUCGACGGGUAGCCGGCCUUAGAGGGUGUACAGCCACAUUGGGACUAAGAUACGGACCAGACUCCUACGGGAGGCAGCAGGGGGGAAUAUUGCACAAUGAGAGCAAGCCUGAUGCAGCGACGCUGCGUUGGUGAAGACGGCCUUCGGGUUGUAAACUGCUUUCGUCAGAGACGAAGCGGAAGUGACGGUACCUGAAGAAGAAGCACCGGCUAACUACGUG
This 466-nucleotide ribosomal RNA is filed under the name uncultured bacterium. Its description in RNAcentral is "partial 16S ribosomal RNA". It matches the Rfam family "Bacterial small subunit ribosomal RNA", at positions 28 to 507 of the family's 1533-position model. The record is from RNAcentral.